Molecule: long non-coding RNA, 371 nt
Filed under: Mytilus galloprovincialis (Mediterranean mussel)
Lineage: Eukaryota; Metazoa; Mollusca; Bivalvia; Mytilida; Mytilidae
Source: RNAcentral
GUUGGUUUUAAUUUGUCUGUCAUAUUUGUUUUUUUAAUAAACUUUUCAGUUAUAAAUUAUGUUUCUAGUUUGCUCCAUGAAAAUUAGUUUAUAUUGUUCAUAGUGGGAGGGGCCUUUUAAAGGCAACUAUAUGGAAUGGGUUUUUCUCAUUGUUGAAGACGGCAUAGUUGUCUAUAAUUGAUAACACACCUUCUUUGAAUUUGUUGUCUCAUUUGCGGUUUUACCACAUCUCCUAAUUUUUGUAACUAAUUUGUGCAUAUUAAUAUUUUGUCUUUUUGACCAGCUUUAGGCCAAAGAUGACAUUGCAUAAUUUUUUAUUAAAAAGUCUGUGUAAUUAGACCCUGUUUUGCUCCAAGUGUUGAGAGUUUUCC